AAAGAAGAUCCGGGAGUGUGGCUGGUAAUGCAGUAUUCAUUUAAUUGGGAGCAGGUACCGGUGCAAACUUCUCCAUUUUAAUUGGAAAAAGGGAAGGGGAUUGUUAAGGACGAAGGAAAAAAGAAUGCAUAAAGUUUCCAAGCCGAGGAGCCAAAGGCAGCCCUGUCUAUGCCAGAGAAAGAACUCAAUUUAGGGCAAUUUGCUCUGCAAGCUGGGCUGCAGCCUCCCCUGGGAAUAGGGAUGAGGAAGAAAAUGAAACCAAAAGAGAA
This 269-nucleotide long non-coding RNA is filed under the name Homo sapiens (human). RNAcentral's name for it is "non-protein coding lnc-KLHL32-4:36". Lineage: Eukaryota; Metazoa; Chordata; Mammalia; Primates; Hominidae. The record is from RNAcentral.